This 378-nucleotide ribosomal RNA is filed under the name uncultured eukaryote. RNAcentral's name for it is "partial 18S ribosomal RNA". It matches the Rfam family "Eukaryotic small subunit ribosomal RNA", at positions 592 to 976 of the family's 1831-position model. The record is from RNAcentral.
CAAUAGCGUAUAUUUAAGUUGCUGCAGUUAAAAAGCUCGUAGUUGGAUUUCGGGUGGGAAUGGCCGGUCCGCCGUUUCGGUGUGCACUUGCUACGCCCACCUUGCUGCCGGGGACGUGCUCUUGAGUUCACGCUCGGGACACGGAGUCGGCGAGGUUACUUUGAGUAAAUUAGAGUGUUCAAAGCAGGCUUAUGCCGUUGAAUAUAUUAGCAUGGAAUAAUAAGAUAGGACUUUGGUACUAUUUUGUUGGUUUGCGCACCAAAGUAAUGAUUAAUAGGGACAGUUGGGGGUAUUCGUAUUCCGUUGUCAGAGGUGAAAUUCUUGGAUUUACGGAAGACGAACUACUGCGAAAGCAUUUACCAAGGAUGUUUUCAUUAA